RNAcentral lists this ribosomal RNA (401 nucleotides) under uncultured Lactobacillus sp. RNAcentral describes it as "bacterial SSU rRNA". It matches the Rfam family "Bacterial small subunit ribosomal RNA", at positions 67 to 446 of the family's 1533-position model. Lineage: Bacteria; Bacillati; Bacillota; Bacilli; Lactobacillales; Lactobacillaceae. The record is from RNAcentral.
CGAAACUAACAGAUUUACUUCGGUAAUGACGAUAGGAAAGCGAGCGGCGGAUGGGUGAGUAACACGUGGGGAACCUGCCCCAUAGUCUGGGAUACCACUUGGAAACAGGUGCUAAUACCGGAUAAGAAAGCAGAUCGCAUGAUCAGCUUUUAAAAGGCGGCGUAAGCUGUCGCUAUGGGAUGGCCCCGCGGUGCAUUAGCUAGUUGGUAAGGUAAAGGCUUACCAAGGCGAUGAUGCAUAGCCGAGUUGAGAGACUGAUCGGCCACAUUGGGACUGAGACACGGCCCAAACUCCUACGGGAGGCAGCAGUAGGGAAUCUUUCACAAUGGACGCAAGUCUGAUGGAGCAACGCCGCGUGAGUGAAGAAGGUUUUCGGAUCGUAAAGCUCUGUUGUUGGUGAA